AUUGAACGCUGGCGGCAGGCCUAACACAUGCAAGUCGAGCGAGCGGCGGACGGGAGAGUAAUGUAUGGGGACUGCCCGAUAGAGGGGGAUAACUACUGGAAACGGUGGCUAAUACAGCAUACUGUCGGAUAACCCAUAUGGGAUUAGCUAGUAGGUAAGGUAAUGGCUUACCUAGGCGACGAUCCCUAGCUGGUCUGAGAGGAUGAGCAGCCACAUUAGGACUGAGACACGGCCCAGACUCCGACGGAGGCAGCAGUGGUGAAUAUUGCACAAUGGGCGCAAUCCUGAUGCAGCUAUCCCGCGUGUAUGAAGAAGGCCCUAGGGUUGGAAAGUACUGUCAGUCGGGCGGCGUUACCGAUAGAAGAAGCACCGGCUAACUCCGUGCCAGCCGCCGCGGUAAUAC
This 403-nucleotide ribosomal RNA is filed under the name uncultured bacterium. Its description in RNAcentral is "partial 16S ribosomal RNA". It matches the Rfam family "Bacterial small subunit ribosomal RNA", at positions 30 to 526 of the family's 1533-position model. The record is from RNAcentral.